AAUAAUCAUGGUGGUGGCUUCCCAGUUUCUGGUCGCGAUCGUCGUGCGUUCUCUGGCGAUGGUGGCUUCUUGGGUGGUUCCUACGGUGGUGGUGGAUACUUUGGCCCCUACCGUGGUGGACCUGGACCUUUCGGUGGACCUUUCGGUGGACCUGGACCUUUCGGUGGACCUUUCGGUGGACCUGGACCUUUCGGUGGACCCUAUGGUGGUGGGUACGGUUUCCCCUACUAUGGAAGAUUUGGUUCCGGUGGAUUCGGUUCUGGUGAAUUUGGACCUGGUGGUGGAUUCAAUAACUUUCCUGGUGGUCGUGGUGGUAGUGGUGUUGGAUUCGGCAACUUUCCUGGUGUAGCCGGUGGGUUACCUAACAAUC
RNAcentral lists this long non-coding RNA (370 nucleotides) under Phaseolus vulgaris (common bean). RNAcentral's name for it is "long non-coding RNA (PVUL_LNC001853)". The record is from RNAcentral. Lineage: Eukaryota; Viridiplantae; Streptophyta; Magnoliopsida; Fabales; Fabaceae.